AAUUGGGCGUAAGAGCUCGUAGGCGGUUUGUCGCGUCUGCCGUGAAAGUCCGAGGCUCAACCUCGGAUCUGCGGUGGGUACGGGCAGACUAGAGUGAUGUAGGGGAGACUGGAAUUCCUGGUGUAGCGGUGAAAUGCGCAGAUAUCAGGAGGAACACCGAUGGCGAAGGCAGGUCUCUGGGCAUUAACUGACGCUGAGGAGCGAAAGCAUGGGGAGCGAACAGGAUUAGAUACCCUGGUAGUCCAUGCCGUAAACGUUGGGCACUAGGUGUGGGGGACAUUCCACGUUUUCCGCGCCGUAGCUAACGCAUUAAGUGCCCCGCCUGGGGAGUACGGCCGCAAGGCUAAAACUCAAAGGAAUUGACGGGGGCCCGCACAAGCGGCGGAGCAUGCGGAUUAAUUCGAUGCAACGCGAAGAACCUUACCAAGGCUUGACAUGUGCCAGACCGCCGUGGAAACACGGUUUCCCCUUUGGGGCUGGUUCACAGGUGGUGCAUGGUUGUCGUCAGCUCGUGUCGUGAGAUGUUGGGUUAAGUCCCGCAACGAGCGCAACCCUCGUUCUAUGUUGCCAGCGGAUUAUGCCGGGGACUCAUAGGAGACUGCCGGGGUCAACUCGGAGGAAGGUGGGGACGACGUCAAAUCAUCAUGCCCCUUAUGUCUUGGGCUUCACGCAUGCUACAAUGGCCGGUACAAUGGGUUGCGAUACUGUGAGGUGGAGCUAAUCCCAAAAAGCCGGUCUCAGUUCGGAUUGGGGUCUGCAACUCGACCCCAUGAAGUCGGAGUCGCUAGUAAUCGCAGAUCAGCAACGCUGCGGUGAAUACGUUCCCGGGACCUUGUACACACCGCCCGUCAAGUCACGAAAGUUGGGUACACCCGAAGCCCGUAGCCUACCCCUUGUGGAGGAGCCGUCGAAAGGUGGGACCGGCGAUUGGGACUAAGUCGUACAAGGUAGCCAU
This 955-nucleotide ribosomal RNA is filed under the name Arthrobacter sp. Its description in RNAcentral is "bacterial SSU rRNA". It matches the Rfam family "Bacterial small subunit ribosomal RNA", at positions 552 to 1503 of the family's 1533-position model. The record is from RNAcentral. Lineage: Bacteria; Bacillati; Actinomycetota; Actinomycetes; Micrococcales; Micrococcaceae.